CAGGUGAUGAUUUGAAAGGUUCGGACUGUCCAAUUUGUCUACAUGCAAAUGUGACUUUUACUACAUGUAGGACUCUGCAUUUUAUUACCUACAUUUUUGUACAAUGUAUAGAUAAAAUGUGUUGACAAUCAAAUAAAGAGGCAAUCUCUCAUUUAGUAUACUAAAAUUGAGAAAGGAAAUGGGGAAUGUGUCAAAGCAACAACAACCUGACCAUAGAGCAGACAACACCCGAAGGCCACCAAUGCAAUGGGUCCUCAAUGUAGCGAGAAUUCCUGCACCCGUAGGUGUCCUUCAACUGGCGUAUACUGGUCCG
This 313-nucleotide long non-coding RNA is filed under the name Mytilus galloprovincialis (Mediterranean mussel). Lineage: Eukaryota; Metazoa; Mollusca; Bivalvia; Mytilida; Mytilidae. The record is from RNAcentral.